Molecule: RNA transcript, 3909 nt
Organism: Myotis lucifugus (little brown bat)
Lineage: Eukaryota; Metazoa; Chordata; Mammalia; Chiroptera; Vespertilionidae
Gene: HACE1
Gene name: HECT domain and ankyrin repeat containing E3 ubiquitin protein ligase 1
Exons: 22
Source: RefSeq, a predicted model, not a curated record
GAAACUGCUGUUUAUACAUUAAUGCCAAUGGUUAUGGCUGAUCAACACAGAUCUGUUUCCGAACUACUAUCAAAUUCAAAGUUUGAUGUUAAUUAUGCAUUUGGACGUGUGAAAAGAAGCUUGCUUCACAUUGCAGCAAAUUGUGGAUCUGUGGAAUGCUUGGUUCUGCUGUUAAAGAAAGGAGCAAAUCCUAACUAUCAAGAUAUUUCAGGCUGUACACCACUUCAUUUGGCAGCUAGAAAUGGGCAGAAGAAAUGCAUGAGUAAAUUAUUAGAAUACAGUGCUGAUGUCAACAUUUGUAAUAAUGAAGGCCUUACAGCAAUACACUGGCUGGCUGUGAAUGGGCGGACAGAGCUACUCCAUGACCUUGUACAGCACGUCAGUGACGUCGAUGUUGAGGACGCAAUGGGGCAGACAGCGCUGCAUGUAGCCUGCCAGAAUGGUCACAAGACGACAGUGCAAUGCUUGCUAGACAGUGGUGCUGAUAUUAACAGGCCAAAUGUAUCAGGAGCCACUCCAUUGUACUUUGCUUGCAGUCAUGGUCAGAGAGACACAGCACAGAUUCUUCUAUUACGAGGAGCCAAAUACCUGCCAGAUAAAAAUGGAGUCACCCCUCUGGAUUUAUGUGUACAAGGUGGAUAUGGAGAGACCUGUGAAGUAUUAAUUCAAUAUCACCCUAGGCUUUUCCAGACAAUUAUUCAAAUGACACAGAAUGAAGAUCUUCGAGAAAACAUGUUACGGCAAGUUCUAGAACAUUUGUCUCAGCAAAGUGAAAGCCAGUACCUAAGGAUUUUAACAAGCCUUGCUGAGGUUGCCACAACAAAUGGUCAUAAACUGCUUAGCCUGUCUAGUAAUUAUGAUGCUCAAAUGAAGAGCCUUUUAAGGAUUGUGAGGAUAUUUUGUCAUGUCUUUCGAAUUGGUCCUUCCUCUCCCAGUAAUGGAAUCGAUAUGGGCUACAACGGGAAUAAAACACCAAGAAGCCAGGUGUUCAAGGUCAGAAAAGUAUAUGACGUUGUUAUGAAGAUAGACGUAAAAGAGAUGAAUUUGACAAAGCAUGCUUUCAUUAAUCAGAAACCUCAUACACAGGACCCUCUCGAAUUGCUUUGGCACUCAUUAGAUGAAUGGCUAGUUUUAAUAGCUACAGAACUGAUGAAAAACAAAAAGGACUCAACGGAUAUCACUUCUAUUUUACUAAAACAAAAAGGCCAAGAUCAAGAUGGUACUUCCAUUCCUCCAUUUGAACCUCCAGGACCUGGGAGCUAUGAAAAUCUAUCCACUGGUACCAGGGAAUCUAAACCAGAUGCUCUAGGAGGGAAACAGGAAGCCGGUGCAGACUGUCAGGAUGUUAUUUCUAUGACAGCUAACCGGCUAAGUGCUGUCAUUCAAGCUUUUUACAUGUGCUGUUCUUGUCAGAUGCCUCCAGGAAUGACUUCACCCCGUUUCAUCGAAUUUGUCUGCAAACACGAUGAAGUCUUAAAAUGCUUUGUUAACAGAAAUCCCAAAAUUAUAUUUGACCACUUUCACUUUCUCCUUGAAUGUCCUGAGUUGAUGUCAAGAUUUAUGCAUAUCAUAAAAGCACAGCCAUUUAAAGAUCGCUGUGAAUGGUUUUAUGAACAUUUGCAUUCAGGACAAGCAGAUUCAGACAUGGUGCAUAGACCAGUGAGUGAGAAUGACAUCCUGCUGGUUCACAGAGAUUCCAUUUUUAGGAGUAGCUGUGAAGUCGUGUCAAAAGCAAAUUGUGCAAAGCUAAAGCAAGGAAUUGCUGUACGGUUCCAUGGAGAAGAAGGCAUGGGUCAAGGCGUUGUGCGUGAAUGGUUUGAUAUUCUGUCUAAUGAGAUAGUCAAUCCUGAUUAUGCAUUGUUUACCCAGUCAGCUGAUGGAACAACUUUUCAGCCUAAUAGCAACUCCUAUGUAAAUCCUGAUCACUUGAACUAUUUCCGUUUUGCUGGACAGAUCUUGGGAUUAGCUUUGAACCAUAGGCAGCUGGUCAACAUUUACUUCACAAGAUCAUUCUAUAAGCACAUUCUUGGUAUUCCUGUAAAUUACCAAGAUGUGGCAUCUAUUGAUCCAGAAUAUGCCAAGAAUUUGCAGUGGAUUUUAGAUAAUGAUAUUAGUGAUCUGGGUCUAGAACUGACUUUUUCUGUUGAGACUGAUGUGUUUGGAGCAAUGGAAGAGGUACCUUUGAAACCUGGGGGUGGAAGUAUUCUGGUGACACAAAAUAACAAAGAGGAGUAUGUCCAGCUUGUUACAGAACUUCGAAUGACAAGAGCCAUUCAACCUCAGAUCAAUGCUUUUCUCCAAGGCUUUCAUAUGUUCAUUCCACCUUCCCUCAUACAGCUGUUUGAUGAAUUUGAGUUGGAGCUACUGCUUUCUGGCAUGCCAGAAAUUGAUGUGAGUGAUUGGAUAAAAAAUACAGAAUACACUAGUGGCUAUGAAAGACAAGAUCCAGUUAUUCAGUUCCAGGGUCCCACAUGGUGGAUUUGCUAAUAUCAUGGGUGGAAGUGGAUUGCAAAACUUUACAAUCGCUGCUGUGCCAUAUACUCCAAAUCUUCUACCGACUUCAAGCACAUGCAUCAACAUGCUCAAGUUACCUGAAUACCCAAGUAAAGAAAUACUCAAGGACAGACUUCUUGUGGCACUGCAUUGUGGCAGCUAUGGCUACACAAUGGCAUAGUGGAGUCUGGAAAGCUCAUCUGACUGCUGAUGCACAGUCCGAGUGGCAGAAGUAAUUUAGGAAAUGUCAACAGAAAAGCAGCCUCAAGGCAGUUCAUGGGCAGGGCUGUUUAAAAUUCAUCAAGAAUCAGGUUUUCUCCCCUGCCCCUUUUCCCUUUUAUGUUUUCUCAGUUUGUGAUACACUUAGAAAAUAGAAAAUCACAGUAGCCUUCAUUUUAAAGAAUGCUAACUGAAAGUAGUAGAAAUUGUCCUUAUAUUUCUUUAAUCUUAUUCAAGAUUGUAUUAAGGCAAAAUCUUGUUUUACAUUCCACCUCUGCUAUGUAACUGUCUUGUUUAAAGGAUGUUUUCUCUUUACUUUUCUGUAUAUUAAAAUAUAGUAGGACAUCCAACCUGGUAUGUCCUAUCGCAUGUAAAGUGCCAUUUAUAUUUUGAAAAACUAUUGUAUAGAAUGGAUUAAUUGAAAUUGUGUAUAAAGCCACAAAUAUGUAUUUUCCCAUAUUGAAUCUAUAUUGCAAUGAUGUUUUCUAGCUUUUUAAUAUUUUACUAUGUAAUGUAAAGUUUAGACUGAUGUGACUAACAAACAGCUGAUGAAAUGAUAUCUAAUUUAUAUAUUAAAGUUUAUACUAUAUUGUAUGAAUUAUUUGCAUUUUUCAGUGGUCAAUUUUCCAUAUAUAUUGUGGUCUCAUAGCUUUUCUUAUGCCUUAAUUUAUAUUUUAGGUAAACCUAAAAUAUAAUAUCUUAUCAUUUUUUAUUUUAUCAGUGAAUUCUGAUGACACAUUUAAAUAAUCUGAUGUGCAGAUUACGAUUUAAAUAUGUAAGUUUUUCUUAAAUUUGCUUUUUAUGAUUAAAAUGUUGAGUUCCAGUGAAUAUGCCUAAUGUAGAGUGUUAGUUUUUAAAUUUUAGGGUGAUCUAAUCAGUUUUUAUUUUGAAAAGACACACUUGAGUAGUUACAGUAUACCUUUUAGGAGGAAGUAGGAACGUGCACAUAGUUAGAAGUGCUAAUGGAGGGAUUUGUAAUGCUUAGGACUUUGCAUCUGGAAACCAAAAGUAGACUCUCCAAUAGCAUAUCCAUGGAUAUGCAUACCUGUGCAUAUUUCCUCAUGAGCAGCCGGUAUAUUUGUCACUGACAAAUAUUGACAAUGUAUAUGUCAAUACAGACAAAUAUUUAAUUUGUAUAUAUGUAUAUAGACAUAUACAUUGAAAGCUUUGCUAAUUUAUAAAGUUUCUCUAAUAUGC